RNAcentral lists this ribosomal RNA (497 nucleotides) under uncultured bacterium. Its description in RNAcentral is "partial 16S ribosomal RNA". It matches the Rfam family "Bacterial small subunit ribosomal RNA", at positions 28 to 507 of the family's 1533-position model. The record is from RNAcentral.
GAUGAACGCUGGCGGCGUGCCUAAUACAUGCAAGUCGAGCGAACAGACGAGGACCUUGCUCCUCUGACGUUAGCGGCGGACGGGUGAGUAACACGUGGAUAACCUACCUAUAAGACUGGGAUAACUUCGGGAAACCGGAGCUAAUACCGGAUAAUAUAUUGAACCGCAUGGUUCAAUAGUGAAAGACGGUUUUGCUGUCACUUAUAGAUGGAUCCGCGCCGCAUUAGCUAGUUGGUAAGGUAACGGCUUACCAAGGCAACGAUGCGUAGCCGACCUGAGAGGGUGAUCGGCCACACUGGAACUGAGACACGGUCCAGACUCCUACGGGAGGCAGCAGUAGGGAAUCUUCCGCAAUGGGCGAAAGCCUGACGGAGCAACGCCGCGUGAGUGAUGAAGGUCUUCGGAUCGUAAAACUCUGUUAUUAGGGAAGAACAAAUGUGUAAGUAACUAUGCACGUCUUGACGGUACCUAAUCAGAAAGCCACGGCUAACUACGUG